Long non-coding RNA from Eptesicus fuscus (big brown bat), 243 nucleotides. RefSeq lists it as uncharacterized. The record is from RefSeq and is a predicted model, not a curated record. The transcript has 3 exons. NCBI's taxonomy places the organism in Eukaryota, Metazoa, Chordata, Mammalia, Chiroptera, Vespertilionidae.
GAGUUCUGGAAAAUGGACCAACAGCCUUAACAUCUCACCUCACUGCCUUCCAAAAUAUGUCUUAUCUCUUGUGGAGAGAAUGUGACAAAAAAGAAUCCAGAACAAGCUCGGGAGGUCUUCGGCCCUGGACCACUCCACCAUUUGAAGCAAGAACUCAGUGCCUGCUAAGCGAUGAGACUGGCAUUUCGAGGUGCAUUGCUGUGGAAGGGACAGCUCUGGGAGAUGAUGGGCCCAGGGGGAAAA